UACGAAGGGGGCUAGCGUUGUUCGGAAUUACUGGGCGUAAAGGGCGCGUAGGCGGUCAGGUCAGUCCCGUGUGAAAUCCCUCGGCUCAACUGAGGAACUGCACGGGAAACUGCCUGGCUUGAGUUCGGGAGAGGGAAGCGGAAUUCCGGGUGUAGCGGUGAAAUGCGUAGAUAUCCGGAGGAACACCGGUGGCGAAGGCGGCUUCCUGGACCGACACUGACGCUGAGGCGCGAAAGCUAGGGGAGCAAACGGG
Molecule: ribosomal RNA, 253 nt
Filed under: uncultured bacterium
Lineage: Bacteria
Description: partial 16S ribosomal RNA
Rfam family: Bacterial small subunit ribosomal RNA
Source: RNAcentral